Molecule: ribosomal RNA, 372 nt
Filed under: uncultured prokaryote
Description: bacterial SSU rRNA
Rfam family: Bacterial small subunit ribosomal RNA
Source: RNAcentral
UACGUAGGCAGCGAGCGUUGUUCGGAAUUACUGGGCGUAAAGAGUGUGUAGGUGGUGUCGUAAGUUUGGUGUGAAAUCUCCCGGCUUAACUGGGAGGGUGCGCCGAAGACUGCGAUGCUUGAGUAUGGGAGAGGAAAGCGGAAUUCCUGGUGUAGCGGUGAAAUGCGUAGAUAUCAGGAGGAACACCUGCGGUGUAGACGGCUUUCUGGACCAUUACUGACACUGAGACACGAAAGCGUGGGUAGCAAACAGGAUUAGAUACCCUGGUAGUCCACGCCCUAAACGAUGCAUACUUGGUGUGAGCCAUUCAGUUGGUUCGUGCCGGAGCUAACGCGUUAAGUAUGCCGCCUGGGGAGUACGGUCGCAAGGCUG